GAGUUUGAUCGUGGCUCAGAUUGAACGCUGGCGGCAUGCCUUACACAUGCAAGUCGAACGGCAGCACGGGAGCUUGCUCCUGGUGGCGAGUGGCGAACGGGUGAGUAAUGCAUCGGAACGUAUCCUGGAGUGGGGGAUAACGUAGCGAAAGUUACGCUAAUACCGCAUAUUCUGUGAGCAGGAAAGCGGGGGACCUUCGGGCCUCGCGCUCUUGGAGCGGCCGAUGUCGGAUUAGCUAGUUGGUGAGGUAAAGGCUCACCAAGGCGACGAUCCGUAGCAGGUCUGAGAGGAUGAUCUGCCACACUGGAACUGAGACACGGUCCAGACUCCUACGGGAGGCAGCAGUGGGAAUUUGGACAAUGGGGCAACCCUGAUCCAGCCAUGCCGCGUGAGUGAAGAAGGCCU
Molecule: ribosomal RNA, 405 nt
Filed under: bacterium enrichment culture clone ALO1_GLFRUDD03G7PJA
Lineage: Bacteria
Description: bacterial SSU rRNA
Rfam family: Bacterial small subunit ribosomal RNA
Source: RNAcentral